RNAcentral lists this ribosomal RNA (253 nucleotides) under uncultured bacterium. RNAcentral's name for it is "partial 16S ribosomal RNA". It matches the Rfam family "Bacterial small subunit ribosomal RNA", at positions 524 to 776 of the family's 1533-position model. The record is from RNAcentral.
UACGGAGGGUGCAAGCGUUAUCCGGAUUUACUGGGUUUAAAGGGUGCGUAGGCGGGCCAUUAAGUCAGUGGUGAAAGCUCCGAGCUUAACUCGGAAACUGCCAUUGAUACUAUUGGUCUUGAAUUCGGUCGAGGUUGGCGGAAUGUGUCGUGUAGCGGUGAAAUGCUUAGAUAUGACACAGAACACCGAUUGCGAAGGCAGCUAGCUAGACCGACAUUGACGCUGAGGCACGAAAGCGUGGGGAUCAAACAGG